GGGGAGAUGUCUCCCUGGCUGAAGCAACAAAGCCAGUAUUAGAGAGUUAUCGCAACAAGUGUGAGUUUACCAUCGGCAAGAGUGUAGAUGGCAUUGAUAACACUGUUGGUUUCCGGCUUGGCGCUUACAAAGGU
This is a long non-coding RNA of Patiria miniata (bat star), 134 nucleotides long. RefSeq lists it as uncharacterized. The transcript has 3 exons. Lineage: Eukaryota; Metazoa; Echinodermata; Asteroidea; Valvatida; Asterinidae. The record is from RefSeq and is a predicted model, not a curated record.